Molecule: long non-coding RNA, 498 nt
Filed under: Homo sapiens (human)
Lineage: Eukaryota; Metazoa; Chordata; Mammalia; Primates; Hominidae
Description: long non-coding RNA NONHSAT207077.1
Source: RNAcentral
CACAGGAGUCUGUGUGAAGCAGCACAAGCGGUUGACCCAGGCCAUCCAGAAAGCCAGGGAUCAUGGUCUCCUCAUUUACCACAUCCCCCAGGUUGAACCACGGGACCUUGACUUCAGUACCUCUCAUGGGGCUGUGAGUGCUACUCCGCCAGCCCCCACCCUGGUCUCAGGUGACCCCUGGUACCCAUGGUACAACUGGAAACAGCCACCGGAGAGAGAACUGUCUCGCCUUCGCCGGCUUUACCAGGGUCAUCUCCAAGAAGAGAGUGGCCCCCCACCUGAGUCAAUGCCCAAGAUGCCCCCUAGAACACCAGCGGAAGCCUCCUCCACUGGGCAGACAGGCCCUCAGAGUGCUCUGUAGGAGCUGUAGACUGGGAAGAGAGGCCAGGCGUGGUGGCUCACUCCUGUAAUCCCAGCACUUUGGGAAGCCAAGGUGGGCUGAUCACUUGAUCCCAGGAGUUUGAGACCAGCCUGGGCACCAUGGUGAAACCUCGUCUU